This 226-nucleotide long non-coding RNA is filed under the name Prunus persica (peach). Its description in RNAcentral is "long non-coding RNA (PPER_LNC000773)". The record is from RNAcentral. Lineage: Eukaryota; Viridiplantae; Streptophyta; Magnoliopsida; Rosales; Rosaceae.
GAGGAUGAGAAUAGACGACCAACUCUCUAAAAAAACCGUCGUUAAAAAGGAAAAAUAUGACACAUAUUAAGAGAACAAGGCCGCAAGAUAGACAUACAACGACGGAAAUAAAACAACGACGCCGUUAAAUAUCAUUUUCACGACAAUAAAAAAUUUGACGUCUUUAAAUACAUUAGAAGACGACGUUAUUGAUGCCUACUACGUCGCAUAUAUAAAAACAGCCGUC